Magallana angulata is the source of this 2279-nucleotide long non-coding RNA. RefSeq lists it as uncharacterized. The record is from RefSeq and is a predicted model, not a curated record. The transcript has 3 exons. Lineage: Eukaryota; Metazoa; Mollusca; Bivalvia; Ostreida; Ostreidae.
UUUUUAGCUCACCUGAGCCAAAGGCUCAAGUGAGCUUUUCUGAUCACAAUUUGUCCGUUGUCUGUCGUUGUCGUUGUCGUCGUCGUCGUUGUUAACUUUUCACAUUUUCAUCUUCUUCUCAAGAACCACUGGGCAGAUUUCAACCAAAGAACAAGGGGCAGUAAGCAUAUAUUAUUUGCCCAAUAUUUUUUAAAAUUUUCAAACAAGCUCAAUCAUUGACAUGAUUUGAUUUUUUUGUUGAUGGGAUGUUUAUUUUUCAAUAUGUAGUCGCAAAAUUGUCACCGAUGUUUUUUAGUAGAGUUAUCCCUCUUUUGAUUUUAGUAAUUUUCCGGAUAUCGCGUAUUUCCUAUGAUAUGGUCACAUUCCCAACAAGAAUUAGAUAUGGCUGCAUGCAAACAACACGGUAAAAUUUUAACAGAUUAAUCAAAAUAACGAAAGAAUUUUAUUCUCAAAAUAUUUUUUUGUUGUUUGCAUGCGGCCACUGUUAAAAAAAUAAAUUAUGUUGUUUUACGAUGGGCGAAUUUUUCGGUUCCGGUUUCGGUUUUUAUACACAGCAGACGUAAACAAAAGUGAAAGUCAGACGACAGCAAUAGAUAUGAAGGCAAAAUCAUUUCAUUAACUGUUUGUAGCAUCUUUGACAAAUGGUGAGCUUCAAGAGAGCUAUGGGAAUUCUGAAAACAUGCAUACAAGGGUGACAUAGAUCCCAUGAAGUAAUGCUGCAGAAUGAAAUCUCAGUGAUCUGAUUGUUGCUGUUUUUCUUACUAUUUAAAAGCUUGCAAAGGAAUAAACAGUGCCAAGCACACGAAUUAUGAAAGUGAUUGAUAUCAUCUGACAUGGUAAAUUAUGACAAUCUUGGUGAUCUGCCGAUAUGGAUAGUCACUACAUUUCAGGAACACAAUAUCUUAUAUGGAUUGAACAUUUUUUCUGGAGCCAUUACUUAAUUAAUGCAUGUGUGGUACAGCCAAUAUCGCACUGGUGUGAAAGUUAAUGGGGUCAGUUCUUUGAUACCUUGAUUACUAAAGACACACACUCUCUAUGGAAGAGCUACUCAGGACUGUGUUUUCAGCAAUUAUGGGUAGUUCAAAAAGUUAAAGUGAAACAUAUAAGUGACAGCGAUUUUAAGUCAAUGAAAUUCAUUGUUCCUUUUUUUAGCUCACCUGAGCUGAAAGCUUAAGUGAGCUCAGCUAUUCUAAUCACUUUUUGUUUGGCGUUCGUCUGUCUGUCUGCUUUUACAUUUUCGACUUCUUUUCCCGAACCACUGGGCCAAUAUCAACCUAACUUUGCACAAAUCAUCCUUAUUUAGGUAAAGGGAUUUAAGUUUAUUAAAAUGAAGGACCACACCUUCCCUCAAAGGGAGAUAUUUAAGAAUUUUUAAAAUUUGUUGGUACAUGUUUCUUUAAAAAAUCCUCUUCUCAAAAACCAUUUGGCCAGAAAAGGUGAUACUUGUGUGAAAGCAUCCUCAGGUAGUGUAGAUUCAAGUUUGUUCAAAUCAUGGUCCCCGGGGGUAGGGUGGGGCCACAACUUUUUGAGCAAGAUCUACUGUACUUAUUUGUCAACAUAUUUUGAAUUUGAUAUUGUACACUAAGUGCUUAUUUGAUAAGCUUUUGUCGCUCAGGUGAGGGAUGUGGCCUUUAGGCCUCUUGUUUAAUGAUUUAGAAAUCUGUGAUAUUUUCAGUAGAACUAUUAUACUAUUUCACCCAACUGUAUAAACUAUAUAGAUAAAAAAUUGUUUUAGAUUAUGAAAUAUUUAAUCAAUUAUCUGAAGGUAAUUUACUAAUGCAUGCACUAUAAAAUUAUAACAAGGAGAAAAAUAUGCAAAAAUUUAAGAUUUUUUGUGAUGAACAUUAGUCAUUGGUGGUUAUGUUUGUUAAUUAUGUAAUGUGUGAAUGUUAGAGUUCACCUUCAUUGAAAUGAAGUAUCAAUUGUUUUAUUAAUAAAAAAACCAUAAUGAUUUUAUAAUGAAAUUGAGUUUUAGUCAUGUUAAGAAAAGAGGUUAACGUUGUGAUUAAUAUGUGGUAAUGAAUGAUGAACUAUGUCAUGAUAAAUUAUUAAACAAAUAUUGUCCCAUUAAAUCCCCCAAAUUCUUAAUCUACAUUGUCUCACUCCACCCAGCUGAACUUGGGUACUGGCAUAUGCUGGGGUGGACUGGUGUUCCAUUCAGGGGGAGUUUAUGACUCCCAUCCAUUUAGCAUCAUGCACAGAUACUGGGGAUAAGCACCGGCUCUUUAGCCUUCAUGGCACGGACAAGGAUUUAACUAACAACCCAUCCACCCCUGCCC